AUUGAACGCUGGCGGCAGGCUUAACACAUGCAAGUCGAGCGGGGUGAUGGUGCUUGCACUAUCACUUAGCGGCGGACGGGUGAGUAAUGCUUAGGAAUCUGCCUAUUAGUGGGGGACAACAUCUCGAAAGGGAUGCUAAUACCGCAUCCGUCCUACGGGAGAAAGCAGGGGGUCACUUGUGACUUUGCGCUAAGAGAUGAGCGUAGGUCGGAUUAGCAAGUUGGUGGGGUAAAGGCCUACCAAGGCGACGCUCUGUAGUGGGUCGGAGAGGAUGAUCCGCCACACUGGGACUGAGACACGGCCCAGACUCCUACGGGAGGCAGCAGUGGGGAAUAUUGGACAAUGGGGGGAACCCUGAUCCAGCCAUGCCGCGUGUGUGAAGAAGGCCUUAUGGUUGUAAAGCACUUUAAGCGAGGAGGAGGCUCUUUUGGUUAAUACCCAAGAUGAGUGGACGUUACUCGCAGAAUAAGCACCGGCUAACUCUGUGCCAGCCGCCGCGGUAA
RNAcentral lists this ribosomal RNA (503 nucleotides) under uncultured bacterium. RNAcentral's name for it is "partial 16S ribosomal RNA". It matches the Rfam family "Bacterial small subunit ribosomal RNA", at positions 30 to 523 of the family's 1533-position model. The record is from RNAcentral.